Molecule: ribosomal RNA, 1338 nt
Filed under: uncultured bacterium
Lineage: Bacteria
Description: bacterial SSU rRNA
Rfam family: Bacterial small subunit ribosomal RNA
Source: RNAcentral
GACGAACGCUGGCGGCGCGCCUAACACAUGCAAGUCGAACGAGCAAGAGAGAGCUUGCUUUCUCGAGCGAGUGGCGAACGGGUGAGUAACGCGUGAGGAACCUGCCUCAAAGAGGGGGACAACAGUUGGAAACGACUGCUAAUACCGCAUAAGCCCACGGUGCCGCAUGGCACAGAGGGAAAAGGAGCAAUCCGCUUUGAGAUGGCCUCGCGUCCGAUUAGCUAGUUGGUGAGGUAACGGCCCACCAAGGCAACGAUCGGUAGCCGGACUGAGAGGUUGAACGGCCACAUUGGGACUGAGACACGGCCCAGACUCCUACGGGAGGCAGCAGUGGGGAAUAUUGCACAAUGGGGGAAACCCUGAUGCAGCGACGCCGCGUGGAGGAAGAAGGUCUUCGGAUUGUAAACUCCUGUUGUUGGGGAAGAUAAUGACGGUACCCAACAAGGAAGUGACGGCUAACUACGUGCCAGCAGCCGCGGUAAAACGUAGGUCACAAGCGUUGUCCGGAAUUACUGGGUGUAAAGGGAGCGCAGGCGGGAAGACAAGUUGGAAGUGAAAUCUAUGGGCUCAACCCAUAAACUGCUUUCAAAACUGUUUUUCUUGAGUAGUGCAGAGGUAGGCGGAAUUCCCGGUGUAGCGGUGGAAUGCGUAGAUAUCGGGAGGAACACCAGUGGCGAAGGCGGCCUACUGGGCACCAACUGACGCUGAGGCUCGAAAGUGUGGGUAGCAAACAAGAUUAGAUACCCUGGUAGUCCACACCGUAAACGAUGAUUACUAGGUGUUGGAGGAUUGACCCCUUCAGUGCCGCAGUUAACACAAUAAGUAAUCCACCUGGGGAGUACGACCGCAAGGUUGAAACUCAAAGGAAUUGACGGGGGCCCGCACAAGCAGUGGAGUAUGUGGUUUAAUUCGACGCAACGCGAAGAACCUUACCAAGUCUUGACAUCCCUUGACAGGCAUAGAAAUAUGUUUUCUCUUCGGAGCAAGGAGACAGGUGGUGCAUGGUUGUCGUCAGCUCGUGUCGUGAGAUGUUGGGUUAAGUCCCGCAACGAGCGCAACCCUUAUGGUCAGUUACUACGCAAGAGGACUCUGGCCAGACUGCCGUUGACAAAACGGAGGAAGGUGGGGAGGACGUCAAAUCAUCAUGCCCUUUAUGACUUGGGCUACACACGUACUACAAUGGCGUUAAACAAAGAGAAGCAAGACCGCGAGGUGGAGCAAAACUCAGAAACAACGUCCCAGUUCGGACUGCAGGCUGCAACUCGCCUGCACGAAGUCGGAAUUGCUAGUAAUCGUGGAUCAGCAUGCCACGGUGAAUACGUUCCCGGGCCUUGUACU